GAUGAACGCUGGCGGCGCGCCUAACACAUGCAAGUCGAACGGUUAAAGCACCUUUUAGGUGUGUAUAAAGUGGCGAACGGCUGAGUAACACGUGGGCAACCUGCCCUCCUCUUGGGGAUAGCCUCGGGAAACCGAGGAUAAUACCCGAUACUUCAAUGUGGCCGCAUGACGACAUUGAGAAAGCUUUUGCGGAGAAGGAUGGGCCCGCGGCCUGUUAGCUUGUUGGUGGGGUAGAGGCCUACCAAGGCAAUGAUGGGUAGCUGGGUUGAGAGACCGACCAGCCAGAUUGGGACUGAGACACGGCCCAGACUCCUACGGGAGGCAGCAGUGGGGAAUCUUGCACAAUGGGCGAAAGCCUGAUGCAGCGACGCCGCGUGCGGGAAGAAGGCCUUCGGGUUGUAAACCGCUUUCAGCAGGGACGAGGCGAAAGUGACGGUACCUGCAGAAGAAGCCCCGGC
This 458-nucleotide ribosomal RNA is filed under the name Lancefieldella rimae. RNAcentral describes it as "bacterial SSU rRNA". It matches the Rfam family "Bacterial small subunit ribosomal RNA", at positions 28 to 497 of the family's 1533-position model. The record is from RNAcentral. Lineage: Bacteria; Bacillati; Actinomycetota; Coriobacteriia; Coriobacteriales; Atopobiaceae.